GUAGAUAUAGUUUAACAAAAAUAUUAGAUUGUGAUUCUAAAGACAGAAGAUAAAAUCUUCUUAUCUACC
RNAcentral lists this transfer RNA (69 nucleotides) under Xenomystax atrarius (deepwater conger). RNAcentral's name for it is "tRNA-His". It matches the Rfam family "tRNA". Rfam says of the family: Transfer RNA (tRNA) molecules are approximately 80 nucleotides in length. Lineage: Eukaryota; Metazoa; Chordata; Actinopteri; Anguilliformes; Congridae. The record is from RNAcentral.